GGCACGGUGGCACAGUGGGUAGUGCUGUUGCCUCACAGGAUGAAGGUUGCGGGUUCAUAUCCAGCCUGGGACC
Molecule: non-coding RNA, 73 nt
Organism: Gymnothorax javanicus (giant moray)
Lineage: Eukaryota; Metazoa; Chordata; Actinopteri; Anguilliformes; Muraenidae
Source: the annotation of a GenBank genome assembly